This is a non-coding RNA of Lactuca sativa (garden lettuce), 934 nucleotides long. NCBI's taxonomy places the organism in Eukaryota, Viridiplantae, Streptophyta, Magnoliopsida, Asterales, Asteraceae. The record is from RefSeq and is a predicted model, not a curated record.
UAGGUUUUAAUUUACUGAAUAACAUUUUCAUUCUCGCAUAUAUAUGUUUAAGGAAUCAUAUAUACUUCGUGAUUGAGGACUGGUUCUCGAGAUGUUUAGAUGAGCAAGGAAAGGACUGAGUUUGGUAAAGUCUCAGGUGAGUUUCGUGGCAGAGGAGGUCGAAGAAGGAUUCACUAGCGAUCUCAAAACCAGUUCUGGUGGAGUACCCUCGGCUGGAGCUCCCUGGUGAAUUGGUGAUUGUUCCCGAUUGCAUGAGGUGAAGAAGAGAUCGGGAAUCUGUCAUCCAACAGCUAUGGUUUUUUCAGCAGGAGUUCAGCAGUGUGAGUUAGUUUCGGACUUCGGUCCGAUGCAGGGGACAAGGUCCCAGUCAGUUCCGGACUUCGGUCCGAUGCAGUUUCCGGACUUCUGCCGUUAGUUCCGUACUUCGGUCUGAUGCAGAGGGCAAGACCCUGGUACUCAGUUUUCAAAAGAGGAGCUCGGGAAGAUUGUAGUGCACACACUAUUUGUUCAGCCUGGGAUGUUUAUACUCUCAUAUAUUUGACAGUUGUUAAAAUAUUUUGAGAUACAUUAUGUAUGAUUUUUAUAUGACGUUUGAUGAAUAUGGUUUUAUCACUAAUUUAAAACGAAAUUUUCAGACUGUAUUUUUGGGAUGUUUCGAGUUGGUAUCAGAGCCUUGGUUUGAGAGAUUCAGGCGCACUCACGAGUGUGUCUGAACUCAAAAUAAGGAAGUGGUAUAAAGUUUUCAAGAGAAAAACCAUGGUUACAAAAGAAUUUUGAGAAAAGAAAACAAUUUUAGAAAAAUUAUAAAGAAAAGGGUUUUAGAAAAAGCGAAAAGAGUUUUGAAAAGAGAAAAUGGUGUGGUGCAUGCGAUUAGCCGAGCUCAAGUAAGUACUCCCAAAUUACCCAUACAAGCUUAUGUUAUGAUUAUCAGUUU